RNAcentral lists this ribosomal RNA (468 nucleotides) under uncultured bacterium. RNAcentral's name for it is "partial 16S ribosomal RNA". It matches the Rfam family "Bacterial small subunit ribosomal RNA", at positions 28 to 507 of the family's 1533-position model. The record is from RNAcentral.
GACGAACGCUGGCGGCGUGCUUAACACAUGCAAGUCGAACGGAAAGGCCCUGCUUUUGUGGGGUGCUCGAGUGGCGAACGGGUGAGUAACACGUGAGUAACCUGCCCUUGACUUUGGGAUAACUUCAGGAAACUGGGGCUAAUACCGGAUAGGAGCUCCUGCUGCAUGGUGGGGGUUGGAAAGUUUCGGCGGUUGGGGAUGGACUCGCGGCUUAUCAGCUUGUUGGUGGGGUAGUGGCUUACCAAGGCUUUGACGGGUAGCCGGCCUGAGAGGGUGACCGGCCACAUUGGGACGGAGAUACGGCCCAGACUCCUACGGGAGGCAGCAGUGGGGAAUAUUGCACAAUGGGCGGAAGGCUGAUGCAGCAACGCCGCGUGCGGGAUGACGGCCUUCGGGUGGGAAACCGCUUUCGCCUGUGACGAAGCGUGAGUGACGGUAAUGGGUAAAGAAGCACCGGCUAACUACGUG